AGUAAUGUGUUGUGAAUCGUACUUCAUCCUGCCCAGGAGAUGUCAGAGCGGCUCGAGGGUCAUGGAGGGUUCUACGUCGGGCAGAACAUGACGUCUUCCCCCUUCAGCCGUCUGGAUGAAAUGUCAGAAGAAGCUGGUAGCGUUUGGGCUACUGGCCCCCACCACCAAGGUCAUCCCCCGCUGCUUGCCUUGCUGUUGGGACGGUGCUGGUGUCACAGCAGAGUGCUCAUCUUGGGAUGGCUCGUGUCUCACUACCUCAUCCUUGUGACAAGAAGGUGGAUUUCUCAGCCGCUUCCUUCCCCAGCAGGGCCACGCGUAGCUGUUAGUAAACAUGACAGCCUGGUCUCCCAUCGUUUGAUUCAAGUUCAGCCCACGAAUGUCUAGA
RNAcentral lists this long non-coding RNA (385 nucleotides) under Suricata suricatta (meerkat). Its description in RNAcentral is "lncRNA (ENSSSUG00005001112.1)". The record is from RNAcentral. Lineage: Eukaryota; Metazoa; Chordata; Mammalia; Carnivora; Herpestidae.